AUGAAUGGCAGCCUCGUUCCCAGUCCAAAUCCCACCGCACCAAGAAGCCUAUGGCAUCGCAGUAGUAGUUCGUUUUAUUGACACUUCUCACGUGGUUGGUCAGACGCAAAAUCAGACGGUUCUCUGAAUAGUUUUGGCAAUGGACCGAAGAAACCACGGACACAUGUUACUCAUAUCCUUCUGGAGCUUCAGGUUCAAGCUCAAAGCCACAGCAGGGAACAAUUCCUCACAAAAGAAUCAGGAAACCCAAUGAAAAGAGGGCCUCAGAUGUCGCCCGAGUUCCUCAAAGAAACUGGGAGUUGUUAUCGUGUCAUGCGAACUUGUUAAUUACAGUGGGGGACAAGGGAUGGGGAGAGAGUGGGGCAGAGGUGGUACUUGAACUUGUUGAGAAUGAGUGGAACCUUGCAGUAAAAGUUUCAGGAACCACAAAAUAUUCUCAUAAAGCACAUCAGUUUCUGCAGCCUGGGUCCACUAACAGGUAUAAACAUGCUAUGAUGUGGCGAGAAGGGAAAGAGUGGACACUCGAAUUUUCAGACAGAAGCCAAUGGGCUCUUUUCAAGGAGAUGCAUGAAGAGUGUCACAACCGAAACUUCCGUGCUGCAUCAGUCAAGAACAUUCCAAUUCCUGGUGUCCGUGUGGUAGAAGAUUAUGAGAUAAUGGAAUGGAGCUGUCAUUUCGCAGUUCUGCUAUCUACUGCCAGCAGGUUGAAACAGAUAUUGAAAUGGCCUUGAAUCCAUCUCGUGUCCUUUAUGACAUGGAUAGCGAUGAUGAGCGGUGGAUUUCAUCUCGUCAAAGUUCUUCAGAUGUUAAUGAUAAUGGCUAUGGGCACAUAUCUGUGGAGAUGUUUGAGAGGACAAUGGACAUGUUUGAGAAGAAAGCUCAUGCUCUACAGCGUGACCAUUUCACAUCCGAGGAAAUGGACGAUUUGAAGUUAGGUGCAGGACCUGUGGUAAGAGGUCUUUAUGAACAUUGGCGGCAGAAGAGGUAAAAGAAGGGAAUGCCAUUGAUUCGACAUCUUCAGCCACCAUUAUGGGAAAUGUACCAGCAGCAGUUGAGAGAGUGGGAGCUAGCUUUGAAUAAAGGGAACUCUGCUGCUUCUGAUGGAUGUCAGAAGGCCUCAGCUACUGAAAGACCUCCCAUGUUUGCUUUCUGUAUGAAACCUAGGGGCUUAGAAGUCCCUAAUAAAGGCUCAAAGCAAAGAUCGCAAAAACGAUACUCAGUCACGGGGCAAAGCAAUGGUUUUCAUGGAGAUCAGGACAGUUUCCAUACUUAUGGGAGGAGAUUGAACGGACCUAGUUUUGGAGAUGAUAGGGCCGUCUAUUUGGGACCUAACUAUGGACAUGCAGACAAUUCUCAAAUGGCACAGACGUCUCCAUUGGGAUAUUCUCCACGAGAUGUCCCUGGCCAGGGAUAUUUUCCAAUUGGCAAUGAUGGAUUCAAUCGAAAUUAUCCUCCGAGACUACAGAGAUAUAAGUCAAAGAAGUCUGGUGCUGUUGCAUCUCCUCGACAUUCACAGGUGGUCACUGCCUACAGCAGGGGAGCCACGGGCAGUAAUAAGAAUACCCAUCACUGGAAUUCUCAUCAACAGUUUUCGUCCGAAGGCUCUCAGAGACCAUCUAGUGAGCAGUGGGACCGGAUGGAUAUGGAUGAAUAUAAAUUGUUGGAUGCAUCUGGUGCAGCACGGUAUGCAUCUAAUUUAGCUAAGCUUAAGAGAGAGAGGGCACAGAGACUUCUUUGCAAAGCAGAUGUAGCAGUUCACAGAGCUGUGGUUGCUCUCAUGACUGCUGAAGCGAUGAAAGCGUCUUCGGAGGAUAGGAAGGAUGAUGGGUAGGUUAUCUGAAGAUUAUCAGUUAACAGAUUGGUAUAGUUCUCAAUUUGAACCCGAAGAAUGUGCAGAUGGCAUGAAAAUAUUUCUCGAGGCGGGAGCUGGUCCAAGAUUUUAUCAGAUGCUGGUGCGCCUUUCACCAUGCACAGUUUUUGAAGAAGUUUGUGGAGAGGGUAUUCAUAGAGAUAUAUUUGGUUAUCACAUUUAAUUGUCGAUAUUUUGACAGUUUUCUAGUCCAUCCUUGCAAUACCUUAGUGAGAUUCCAGUAGUCUCUUACACCAGCAGCAAGUGUAUGCCUCAUUAGUGCUGCUUGUCGUGUUUAUUUUGCAAGAGCAUUGUAUAGAAUCUUUUCCUACCAUUCUCUGUACAGUCAGCCCACCCCCUCUAUCAAAUAAGAAAGAAAAAAAAAGGAAAUGAAGAGAGAUUGACCAAACGUAAUUGGUUUUGGCCAGAA
RNA transcript from Eucalyptus grandis, 2279 nucleotides. RefSeq lists it as uncharacterized. The record is from RefSeq and is a predicted model, not a curated record. Lineage: Eukaryota; Viridiplantae; Streptophyta; Magnoliopsida; Myrtales; Myrtaceae. The transcript has 3 exons.